RNA transcript from Fragaria vesca subsp. vesca, 1850 nucleotides. It is a transcript of the gene named plasma membrane ATPase 1-like, with no coding region annotated. The record is from RefSeq and is a predicted model, not a curated record. The transcript is spliced from 12 exons. Lineage: Eukaryota; Viridiplantae; Streptophyta; Magnoliopsida; Rosales; Rosaceae.
AUGUCUCACCUAAAUGCUACAGCUCUCAAAGUCACUUUGCUUCUUGUUCACAAUAAGCCAUUACCAAAUAACGGGUACCCAUUCCGAUGGGAACUUUUUCGUCAGGACCCUCCCAGAAGGGAGCCUCAUGGUAGAACCAAACUGAAGACUAGCAGAACUAGCAAUGGUAAGGUAACAGACCUGCAGACUAUCAGAGACUACUCCAUUCUUGUUCCUGGUGACAUAAUCAGCAUUAAACUUGGAGACAUUCUUCCAGCAGAUGCCCGUCUCCUCGAUGGUGAUCCAUUGAAAAUUGAUCAGUCAUCACUUACAGGUGAGUCACUUCCUGUGACCAAAAGCCCUGGUGACAGUGUGUAUUCUGGUUCUACAUGCAAACAAGGAGAGAUUGAAGCGGUGGUCAUUGCCACUGGUGUUCAUACCUUUUUCGGCAAGGCUGCGCACCUUGUCGAUAGCACGAAUCAACAGGGUCAUUUUCAACAGGUCUUGACUGCAAUUGGGAAUUUCUGUAUAUGUUCCAUCGCUGUGGGAAUGAUCAUAGAGAUCAUAGUCAUGUACCCAAUACAACACCGGAGUUACCGCCCUGGUAUUGACAACCUGCUUGUGCUACUUAUCGGAGGAAUUCCCAUUGCCAUGCCCACAGUUUUAUCUGUGACAAUGGCUAUUGGUUCCCACUGGUUGGCUGAGCAGGGUGCUAUCACUAAACGGAUGACGGCAAUUGAAGAAAUGGCAGGCAUGGAUGUUCUUUGCAGUGACAAAACUGGGACUCUGACAUUGAAUAAGCUUACAGUUGACAAGACUCUUCUAGAGGUCUUUGUUAAAGGGGUGGACGUAGAUACUGUUGUUCUAAUGGCAGCUCGAGCAUCCCGGAUUGAAAAUCAAGAUGCAAUAGAUGCUGCUAUUGUGGGAAUGUUGGCCGAUCCAAAGGACCUUGGUUUCAUGCUACUGGCACUCACAUGGCACUUCGACUUCCCACCCUUCAUGGUUCUGAUCAUUGCUAUUCUCAAUGAUGGUACUAUAAUGACAAUUUCAAAGGAUAGAGUGAAACCCUCUCCUAUGCCAGACAGUUGGAAACUUGCGGAGAUCUUUACCACCGGGUAUCAUCCUGGGUAGUUACUUAGCAGUUAUGACGGUCAUUUUCUUUUGGGCAGCAUACGAUACAGACUUCUUCCCUCGUCACUUUGGGGUUCCAAGCCUUCAUAGAAAGGAUAAUGACAACUAUAGGAAGCUUUCUGCUGCAGUGUACCUGCAAGUGAGUACCAUCAGUCAGGCUCUCAUAUUCGUCACCCGGGCACGUAGUUGGUCUUUCCUCGAGCGACCUGGUCUUUUACUUGUAGCAGCUUUUGUUAUUGCUCAGCUGAUUGCUACACUUAUCGCUGUGUAUGCCGAUUGGAGUUUCGCUGCGAUAGAGGGAAUUGGGUGGGGUUGGGCUGGUGUUGUUUGGUUAUAUAACCUCGUCUUCUAUCUUCCACUUGAUAUCGUCAAGUUCAUCAUCCGAUACGCACUGAGUGGGAGAGCCUGGGAUGAUCUCGUAUUUGAGCAGAGGAUUGCCUUCACAAGAAAGAAGAAUUUCAGAAAGGAAGAAAGGGAGCUCAGAUGGGCACACGCCCAGAGGACUCUCCAUGGUCUGCAACUGCCGGACACCAAAAAAGUUUGGUGAACGCAAUUCUUACACAGAACUUAAUCAGAUGGCUGAAGAGGCAAAAAGACGAGCAUAAAUUACCAGGCUGAGGGAGUUGAACACCCUGAAAGGGCAUGUCGAAUCAGUGGUGAGGAUGAAGGGCCUAGACAUCGACACAAUUCAGCAAUCAUACACUGUUUACGAUGCACUUCAGCAAACAUACACUGUCUAA